GUAGUCCACGCCGUAAACGAUGUCAACUAGCCGUUGGGUCUAUUUAUAGACUUAGUGGCGGAGCUAACGUAUUAAGUUGACCGCCUGGGGAGUACGGCCGCAAGGUUAAAACUCAAAUGAAUUGACGGGGGCCCGCACAAGCGGUGGAGCAUGUGGUUUAAUUCGAUGCAACGCGAAGAACCUUACCUACCCUUGACAUCCAGAGAAUCUGUUAGAGAUAGUAGAGUGCCUUCGGGAACUCUGAGACAGGUGCUGCAUGGCUGUCGUCAGCUCCGUGUCGUGAGAUGUUGGGUUAAGUCCCGUAACG
Molecule: ribosomal RNA, 307 nt
Filed under: uncultured bacterium
Lineage: Bacteria
Description: bacterial SSU rRNA
Rfam family: Bacterial small subunit ribosomal RNA
Source: RNAcentral